This 48-nucleotide transfer RNA is filed under the name Bellis perennis. RNAcentral's name for it is "partial tRNA-Leu". Lineage: Eukaryota; Viridiplantae; Streptophyta; Magnoliopsida; Asterales; Asteraceae. The record is from RNAcentral.
AAAAUCCGUCGAUCAAAAAUCAUGAGGGUUCAAGUCCCUCUAUCCCCA